RNAcentral lists this unclassified non-coding RNA (349 nucleotides) under plant metagenome. RNAcentral's name for it is "partial contains 5.8S ribosomal RNA, internal transcribed spacer 2, and large subunit ribosomal RNA". The stretch from base 1 to 105 matches the Rfam family "5.8S ribosomal RNA", at positions 50 to 154 of the family's 154-position model. RNAcentral also lists the same sequence under 1 other name. The record is from RNAcentral.
GAAUUGCGAUAAGUAAUGUGAAUUGCAGAAUUCAGUGAAUCAUCGAAUCUUUGAACGCACCUUGCACUCUUUGGUAUUCCGAAGAGUAUGUCUGUUUGAGUGUCAUGAAACUCUCAACCCCCCUAUUUUGUAAUGAGAUGGGCGUGGGCUUGGAUUAUGACUGUUGUCGGCGUAAUUGCCGGCUCAGUUGAAAUACACGAGCAACCCAUUUGAAAUAAACGGUUUGACUUGGCGUAAUAAUUAUUUCGCUAAGGACGUUUUCUUCAAAAGUAAGAGGUGCUUCUAAUGCGCUAUUACAGCACUUUAAAUUUUAGACCUCAAAUCAGUCAGGACUACCCGCUGAACUUAA